AUUGAACGCUGGCGGCAGGCCUAACACAUGCGAGUCGAGCGGAUGAAGGGAGCUUGCUCCUGGAUUCAGCGGCGGACGGGUGAGUAAUGCCUAGGAAUCUGCCUGGUAGUGGGGGAUAACGUCCGGAAACGGGCGCUAAUACCGCAUACGUCCUGAGGGAGAAAGUGGGGGAUCUUCGGACCUCACGCUAUCAGAUGAGCCUAGGUCGGAUUAGCUAGUUGGUGGGGUAAAGGCCUACCAAGGCGACGAUCCGUAACUGGUCUGAGAGGAUGAUCAGUCACACUGGAACUGAGCCACGGCCCUGACUCCUACGGGAGGCAGCAGUGGGGAAUAUUGGACAAUGGGCGAAAGCCUGAUCCAGCCAUGCCGCGUGUGUGAAGAAGGUCUUCGGAUUGUAAAGCACUUUAAGUUGGGAGGAAGGGCAGUAAGUUAAUACCUUGCUGUUUUGACGUUACCAACAGAAUAAGCACCGGCUAACUUCGUG
This 484-nucleotide ribosomal RNA is filed under the name uncultured bacterium. Its description in RNAcentral is "partial 16S ribosomal RNA". It matches the Rfam family "Bacterial small subunit ribosomal RNA", at positions 30 to 507 of the family's 1533-position model. The record is from RNAcentral.